Tupaia belangeri chinensis (Chinese tree shrew) is the source of this 516-nucleotide long non-coding RNA. RefSeq lists it as uncharacterized. The record is from RefSeq and is a predicted model, not a curated record. The transcript has 5 exons. NCBI's taxonomy places the organism in Eukaryota, Metazoa, Chordata, Mammalia, Scandentia, Tupaiidae.
ACGCCCUGUAGUAAAAACUUCUCCAAAGGAAAAAAAAAGAAUAUUUGUAUGUCAAAUCAUGGUAAUAUGUACGGUGGCUUUUGUGAGAAACAGAGGGCUUUUUCUUCACCCUACCUUAACAUUCAUUCCUAUAAUAUUUGAGAUCCGAAGCUGAAUCCAAGUGUAACAUUCCAGCAUUCUUCAGGAACUCCUAGAUUUCUAGUUCACUUUUUCUUGUGCUCUGAACUCGAAGACUGUUUACUCAGCUGGCAAGGCCAUCUUCAAUAUUAGGGAUUUAGAAAAGACAUCAUAAACAUGUUUACCGUGAAUGACACCAGGAUUAAUGGCAGUCAGAAUAAUGGUACUUCCAAAGAUUUCUACACCCAAAUUUCCUGAUGUGGUAAAGAGACUUCGCAUACAUGAUCAUGGCCAAUUCCAUAGCUCAGUUGUUAAGAAGACUGGAUCCCAUAUGUCCAACUGUGUUUCAAUUCCUGGCUCCGAUAGUUUGAAAAAUACACUGGGCUUGUGUGGUGAGUA